RNAcentral lists this ribosomal RNA (381 nucleotides) under uncultured bacterium. RNAcentral describes it as "bacterial SSU rRNA". It matches the Rfam family "Bacterial small subunit ribosomal RNA", at positions 28 to 409 of the family's 1533-position model. The record is from RNAcentral.
GACGAACGCUGGCGGCGUGCUCAACACAUGCAAGUCGAACGGAAAGGCCCUGCUUUUGUGGGGUGCUCGAGUGGCGAACGGGUGAGUAACACGUGAGUAACCUGCCCUUGACUUUGGGAUAACUUCAGGAAACUGGGGCUAAUACCGGAUAGGAGCUCCUGCUGCAUGGUGGGGUUGGAAAGUUUCGGCGGUUGGGGAUGGACUCGCGGCUUAUCAGCUUGUUGUGGGUAGUGGCUUACCAAGGCUUUGACGGGUAGCCGGGCCUGAGAGGGUGACCGGCCACAUUGGGACUGAGAUACGGCCCAGACUCCUACGGGAGGCAGCAGUGGGGAAUAUUGCACAAUGGGCGGAAGCCUGAUGCAGCAACGCCGCGUGCGGGAU